UGGGGAAUAUUGGGCAAUGGAGGCAACUCUGACCCAGCCAUGCCGCGUGGGUGACGAAGGUCUUCGGAUUGUAAAGCCCUUUCGGCGGGGACGAUGAUGACGGUACCCGCAGAAGAAGCCCCGGCUAACUUCGUGCCAGCAGCCGCGGUAAUACGAAGGGGGCUAGCGUUGUUCGGAAUUACUGGGCGUAAAGGGCGUGUAGGCGGCCCGCUAAGUCAGGUGUGAAAUUCCUGGGCUCAACCCAGGACGUGCACUUGAGACUGACGGGCUUGAGUCCGGGAGAGGAUGGUGGAACUCCCAGUGUAGAGGUGAAAUUCGUAGAUAUUGGGAAGAACACCCGUGGCGAAGGCGGCCAUCUGGACCGGUACUGACGCUAAGGCGCGACAGCGUGGGGAGCAAACA
RNAcentral lists this ribosomal RNA (402 nucleotides) under uncultured bacterium. RNAcentral's name for it is "bacterial SSU rRNA". It matches the Rfam family "Bacterial small subunit ribosomal RNA", at positions 355 to 774 of the family's 1533-position model. The record is from RNAcentral.